RNAcentral lists this ribosomal RNA (571 nucleotides) under uncultured bacterium. Its description in RNAcentral is "bacterial SSU rRNA". It matches the Rfam family "Bacterial small subunit ribosomal RNA", at positions 240 to 803 of the family's 1533-position model. The record is from RNAcentral.
AUUAGCUAGUUGGUAGGGUAACGGCCUACCAAGGCGACGAUCCGUAACUGGUCUGAGAGGACGACCAGUCACACCGGAACUGAGACACGGUCCGGACUCCUACGGGAGGCAGCAGUGGGGAAUAUUGGACAAUGGGGGCAACCCUGAUCCAGCGACGCCGCGUGGGUGAAGAAGGCCUGCGGGUUGUAAAGCCCUUUCGGUUGGGAAGAAAAGCUGUGACCUAACACGUCGCGGCCUUGACGUAACCAACUAAAGAAGCACCGGCUAACUCUGUGCCAGCAGCCGCGGUAAUACAGAGGGUGCGAGCGUUAAUCGGAAUUACUGGGCGUAAAGCGCGCGUAGGCGGCUUUGUAAGUCGGUUGUGAAAUCCCCGGGCUCAACCUGGGAACUGCAUCCGAGACUGCAUGGCUAGAGUAUGGGAGAGGGAAGUGGAAUUUCAGGUGUAGCGGUGAAAUGCGUAGAUAUCUGAAGGAACAUCAGUGGCGAAAGCGACUUCCUGGACCAAUACUGACGCUCAUGUGCGAAAGCGUGGGGAGCAAGCAGGAUUAGAUACCCUGGUAGUCCACGCCAU